This 507-nucleotide ribosomal RNA is filed under the name uncultured bacterium. Its description in RNAcentral is "bacterial SSU rRNA". It matches the Rfam family "Bacterial small subunit ribosomal RNA", at positions 29 to 507 of the family's 1533-position model. The record is from RNAcentral.
AAUGAACGCUGGCGGCGUGCCUAACACAUGCAAGUCGUACGAGAAAUCCCGAGCUUGCUUGGGAGAGUAAAGUGGCGCACGGGUGAGUAACGCGUGGGUAACCCACCUUCGAAUCUGGGAUAACUCCGCGAAAGCGGUGCUAAUACCGGAUAAGACCACAGCCGUUUCGGCGGCAGAGGUAAAAGCUGACCUCUCCAUGGAAGUUAGCGUUCGAGGACGGGCCCGCGUCCUAUCAGCUUGUUGGUGGGGUAAUGGCCUACCAAGGCAGCGACGGGUAGCUGGUCUGAGAGGAUGAUCAGCCACACUGGAACUGGAACACGGUCCAGACUCCUACGGGAGGCGGCAGUGAGGAAUUUUGCGCAAUGGGGGAAACCCUGACGCAGCAACGCCGCGUGGGUGAAGAAGGCUUUCGGGUCGUAAAGCCCUGUCAGGUGGGAAGAACCGUUUCGAUACUAAUAAUGCCGAAGCCUGACGGUACCACCAGAGGAAGCACCGGCCAACUCCGUG